Molecule: ribosomal RNA, 429 nt
Filed under: Chloroflexota bacterium
Lineage: Bacteria; Bacillati; Chloroflexota
Description: Chloroflexi bacterium partial 16S ribosomal RNA
Rfam family: Bacterial small subunit ribosomal RNA
Source: RNAcentral
UGGGGAAUAUUGCACAAUGGGCGCAAGCCUGAUGCAGCCAUGCCGCGUGUAUGAAGAAGGCCUUCGGGUUGUAAAGCACUUUCAGCGGGGAGGAAGGCGGUGAGGUUAAUAACCUCAUCGAUUGACGUUACCCGCAGAAGAAGCACCGGCUAACUCCGUGCCAGCAGCCGCGGUAAUACGGAGGGUGCAAGCGUUAAUCGGAAUUACUGGGCGUAAAGCGCACGCAGGCGGUCUGUCAAGUCGGAUGUGAAAUCCCCGGGCUCAACCUGGGAACUGCAUCUGAUACUGGCAAGCUUGAGUCUCGUAGAGGGGGGUAGAAUUCCAGGUGUAGCGGUGAAAUGCGUAGAGAUCUGGAGGAAUACCGGUGGCGAAGGCGGCCCCCUGGACAAAGACUGACGCUCAGGUGCGAAAGCGUGGGGAGCAAACAGG